CCUACGGGAGGCUGCAGUGAGGAAUAUUGGUCAAUGGACGAGAGUCUGAACCAGCCAAGUAGCGUGAAGGAUGACUGCCCUAUGGGUUGUAAACUUCUUUUAUAAAGGAAUAAAACGAGGCACGUGUGCCUUUUUGCAUGUACUUUAUGAAUAAGGAUCGGCUAACUCCGUGCCAGCAGCCGCGGUAAUACGUAGGGGGCAAGCGUUAUCCGGAAUCACUGGGUGUAAAGGGAGCGUAGACGGCUGUGCAAGCCUGAAGUGAAAGGCGGGGGCCCAACCCCUGGACUGCUUUGGGAACUGUACGGCUGGAGUGCAGGAGAGGUAAGUGGAAGUCCUAGUGUAGCGGUGAAAUGCGUAGAUAUUAGGAGGAACUCCGAUUGCGAAGGCAGCUUACUAAACUGCCACUGACAUUGAUGCUCGAAAGUGUGGGUAUCAAACAGGAUUAGAUACCCUUGUAGUC
Molecule: ribosomal RNA, 460 nt
Filed under: uncultured bacterium
Lineage: Bacteria
Description: partial 16S ribosomal RNA
Rfam family: Bacterial small subunit ribosomal RNA
Source: RNAcentral